This 27-nucleotide non-coding RNA is filed under the name Homo sapiens (human). The record is from RNAcentral. Lineage: Eukaryota; Metazoa; Chordata; Mammalia; Primates; Hominidae.
UGUGGCCGGAGAACAGCAGCUGGAUGU